This 550-nucleotide ribosomal RNA is filed under the name uncultured Chlorophyta. RNAcentral's name for it is "SSU rRNA". It matches the Rfam family "Eukaryotic small subunit ribosomal RNA", at positions 498 to 1057 of the family's 1831-position model. The record is from RNAcentral. Lineage: Eukaryota; Viridiplantae; Chlorophyta.
AUGUCUUGUAAUUGGAAUGAGUAGAAUUUAAAUCCCUUUACGAGUAUCAAUUGGAGGGCAAGUCUGGUGCCAGCAGCCGCGGUAAUUCCAGCUCCAAUAGCGUAUAUUUAAGUUGUUGCAGUUAAAAAGCUCGUAGUUGGAUUUCGGUUAAGAGCGACCGGUCCGCCGUUUGGUGUGCACUGGUUGGUUUUAACUUCCUGUAGAGGACGUGCUCUGGGUUUAACGACCUGGACUCGGAGUCUACGUGGUUACUUUGAAAAAAUUAGAGUGUUCAAAGCGGGCUUACGCUUGAAUAUUUCAGCAUGGAAUAACACUAUAGGACUCCUGUCCUAUUUCGUUGGUCUCGGGACGGGAGUAAUGAUUAAGAGGAACAGUUGGGGGCAUUCGUAUUUCAUUGUCAGAGGUGAAAUUCUUGGAUUUAUGAAAGACGAACUUCUGCGAAAGCAUUUGCCAAGGAUGUUUUCAUUAAUCAAGAACGAAAGUUAGGGGAUCGAAGAUGAUUAGAUACCAUCGUAGUCUUAACCAUAAACUAUGCCGACUCAGGAUCGGA